RNAcentral lists this ribosomal RNA (602 nucleotides) under Salmonella enterica. RNAcentral's name for it is "partial 23S ribosomal RNA". It matches the Rfam family "Bacterial large subunit ribosomal RNA", at positions 2341 to 2925 of the family's 2925-position model. Lineage: Bacteria; Pseudomonadati; Pseudomonadota; Gammaproteobacteria; Enterobacterales; Enterobacteriaceae. RNAcentral also lists the same sequence under 2 other names. The record is from RNAcentral.
GGAGGUUAGUGCAAUGGCAUAAGCCAGCUUGACUGCGAGCGUGACGGCGCGAGCAGGUGCGAAAGCAGGUCAUAGUGAUCCGGUGGUUCUGAAUGGAAGGGCCAUCGCUCAACGGAUAAAAGGUACUCCGGGGAUAACAGGCUGAUACCGCCCAAGAGUUCAUAUCGACGGCGGUGUUUGGCACCUCGAUGUCGGCUCAUCACAUCCUGGGGCUGAAGUAGGUCCCAAGGGUAUGGCUGUUCGCCAUUUAAAGUGGUACGCGAGCUGGGUUUAGAACGUCGUGAGACAGUUCGGUCCCUAUCUGCCGUGGGCGCUGGAGAACUGAGGGGGGCUGCUCCUAGUACGAGAGGACCGGAGUGGACGCAUCACUGGUGUUCGGGUUGUCAUGCCAAUGGCACUGCCCGGUAGCUAAAUGCGGAAGAGAUAAGUGCUGAAAGCAUCUAAGCACGAAACUUGCCCCGAGAUGAGUUCUCCCUGAGACUUAGAGUCUCCUGAAGGAACGUUGAAGACGACGACGUUGAUAGGCCGGGUGUGUAAGCGCAGCGAUGCGUUGAGCUAACCGGUACUAAUGAACCGUGAGGCUUAACCUUACAACGCCGAAG